Molecule: ribosomal RNA, 465 nt
Filed under: Vreelandella stevensii
Lineage: Bacteria; Pseudomonadati; Pseudomonadota; Gammaproteobacteria; Oceanospirillales; Halomonadaceae
Description: partial 16S ribosomal RNA
Rfam family: Bacterial small subunit ribosomal RNA
Source: RNAcentral
CCUACGGGAGGCAGCAGUGGGGAAUAUUGGACAAUGGGGGCAACCCUGAUCCAGCCAUGCCGCGUGUGUGAAGAAGGCCCUCGGGUUGUAAAGCACUUUCAGUGAGGAAGAACGCCUGGUGGUUAAUACCCAUCAGGAAAGACAUCACUCACAGAAGAAGCACCGGCUAACUCCGUGCCAGCAGCCGCGGUAAUACGGAGGGUGCGAGCGUUAAUCGGAAUUACUGGGCGUAAAGCGCGCGUAGGUGGCUUGAUAAGCCGGUUGUGAAAGCCCCGGGCUCAACCUGGGAACGGCAUCCGGAACUGUCAAGCUAGAGUGCAGGCGAGGAAGGUAGAAUUCCCGGUGUAGCGGUGAAAUGCGUAGAGAUCGGGAGGAAUACCAGUGGCGAAGGCGGCCUUCUGGACUGACACUGACACUGAGGUGCGAAAGCGUGGGUAGCAAACAGGAUUAGAUACCCCUGUAGUC